UCUUCCACAAUGGACGAAAGUCGGAUGGAGCAAUGCCGCGUGAGUGUAGAAGGGUUUCGGCUCGUAAAACUCUGUUGUUAGAGAAGAACGGGCGUGAGAGUAACUGCUCACGUCGCGACGGUAUCUAACCAGAAAGCCACGGCUAACUACGUGCCAGCAGCCGCGGUAAUACGUAGGUGGCAAGCGUUGUCCGGAUUUAUUGGGCGUAAAGCGAGUGCAGGCGGUCUUCUAAGACUGAUGUGAAAGCCUUCGGCUUAACCGGAGAGGUGCAUCGGAAACUGGGAAACUUGAGUGCAGAAGAGGACAGUGGAACUCCAUGUGUAGCGGUGAAAUGCGUAAAUAUAUGGAGGAACACCAGUGGCGAAGGCGGCUGUCUAGUCUGUAACUGACGCUGAGGCUCGAAAGCAUGGGUAGCAAACAG
This 421-nucleotide ribosomal RNA is filed under the name uncultured bacterium. RNAcentral describes it as "bacterial SSU rRNA". It matches the Rfam family "Bacterial small subunit ribosomal RNA", at positions 362 to 775 of the family's 1533-position model. The record is from RNAcentral.